Molecule: long non-coding RNA, 1123 nt
Filed under: Podarcis muralis (Common wall lizard)
Lineage: Eukaryota; Metazoa; Chordata; Lepidosauria; Squamata; Lacertidae
Description: lncRNA (ENSPMRG00000011612.1)
Source: RNAcentral
CACAGCGACCCCCUUUUCCUACAAUUUCUCACCCCCAAGACAACGCCAACUCGCGGGGUUUUGACUGACACCGCAAACAAGCGGGGACUGAAGAGAAGAACCCACCCAGACACGCGUCCAAAACAUUCACACGUUCGGGGACGUCAUCGAGGAAGGGGGGGGAGGGCGGAAGAAAUACAUACUGAAGAGGCUAAAGCAGCAACCUGUCCUCCUCCAAAAGUUCACACGACCACCCUCCCCCAGAGACCCCUCGCCCAUCAAACGCCCCUUACCAGCAAGAACGGGAGACCCUGGAUGGAGGAAGAGGGCGAAGGGGGUCGUCGUGGCAGCGUCAGGGCCGCCUCAGAGCCCGGCGAGGGUCUGGAGCUUCUCCUCCUCCUUCACCACUCCUCGCAAGUAGCGGCAGCAGCCAUCUUGCCUUCUCCGCCCCUCGCUCCGUUCUCGGCGCGGUCACGUGGGCGCGGCUGGCCUCCUCCUUCUCCUUCUCGGGCUGAGGCGGGCGAGCCUGAGAGCGGCGAGAUUGAACGCAGGAGGCGCGCUCUGCUCGGGGUUGAGCGCUGCUGGGCUGGGUCUGCUUGACUGGCUGGGUCUGGGUUGCCAAGCCCCCCCCCCACUGCAAAUCAAUACAAAUCAAUAUAAAUCUGAGUUUCUGUCGGCCCCCCCCCAACAAAAAUCCAGGCUACGCCCAUGUCAAGAGCUCCACAGAGUGGGGUGGGGGGGACCCGACCUCUCCGUUUACUGUGCAACAAAGACCCCUGUGGCACCUCCCCAUAGCUGUCAACGUUUCCCUUUUUUAAAUGGAAAUUCCCUUAUUCCGAAUAGGAUUCCUCGCAAGAAAAGGGGAAAUUUGACAGCUAUGCACCUUCCUUCCUUAUUUUAUUUUAUCACGUUGAUAUUAUACACCUCUUGGUUGUGAAGAGGGAGCUAAAAAGGAAACAAAAUCUAUAGCACAUUAUAUAUAUAUAAUGUGCCAAGACUCUCAUCUCCAGAACCAAACGCCUGGCUGACAAAGACCACUUGACAACUGAGUUACAGAAUCUCUCAAAUGUGUUAAUCACCAAUGGAUACCAGCAAAACAGGGUUACGAAGCUAAUCCAAAAAGAAACACCCCCCAAAAACCAAG